CUCGGAUCAGGAGCCCCGUCGCCACGGGGAACCACAGCUUGAUUGAUGGCAACUGCAUCUACGCCAUCAGCUUCCCUGUGAGAAUCCAAAAUGGCUGCCUGUUUCCACGGCGACAACAGACAUGCCCCCCCGCCAUGGAGAUGAAUGGAAACUCUUAACUCUUCGUCCCUCUGAGAAAACCAGUGAAGAAGAGUCCAUCUUCACCUCCUCUUCAUCAGCCGGUCGCUUCUCUUCAACCCCCCUUUCCUCCAGUGCUGCACCCGUGCGAGAUAGGAAGUGACCUACAUAGCGUGGCGGCUCCCUCGCCUUGGCUGUCAUUUGCAUUUCAAGGGGUGAUGAAUAAUUUACACACACAUAUACUCACAGUUACGAUUCCCAAAUCUCCCCAUCCGAACACUGAACGUACAUCCCGCUGCAACAUGACAGGCCUCAAUAAUGUUAGAUAACUCUGUCUGUGUGUGUGUGUGUGUGUGUGUGUGUGUGUGUGUGUGUGUGUGUAUGUACAGGAGGUGGUGUAAGCUCUUUGAGGAGGUGUUAGGAGGAGAUCUGUGGGCCUGAAGCACCAACACUGACAAACCACAGAGGAAUCAUAUGAAAACACAGCUCGUGGAUAAUUACCAAAAGGCUUUCUGAGAUAAGACGGUUCCCCCUGGGACGAUGGCCGACGAUUCCCGAGCUGUGGAGAAGAUCUCCAGUCUGACCAGCCAUGUGGAGGAAUUUUGAACAGCCUCAGUCUCUGCUGCAGCUCUCUGACUCUGCAUCUGGAAAGACUCAGGAGGGCAAAGUGCAGCGCUCGCCGCCCAUGCAUGCAGCCAGGGGAGCGCUCGGCAGCAGCCAUCUUUAUGUUCUUAUCUCCCUCCCAUACGCCCCCCCGCAGGCCAGGCUCAGCCCUGCUGUAAUUGACUUUCUCCCACUGAGCCCGGUGGAGGCUUCAGGCUGCAGAGCUGCACUGAAAAACCUAUUACACACUGCUGCACACCUACACACUGCAGACCUAUAG
RNAcentral lists this long non-coding RNA (1000 nucleotides) under Mastacembelus armatus (zig-zag eel). RNAcentral describes it as "lncRNA (ENSMAMG00000028104.1)". The record is from RNAcentral. Lineage: Eukaryota; Metazoa; Chordata; Actinopteri; Synbranchiformes; Mastacembelidae.